AUGUGGCCACCCGGAACAUGCAGGCUGGGGACUGCUCUGUGGGCACCUGCCGGGCGAGAAGCAGGCCUCCCCGAGGGGCCCAGGAGAACGUCGAGAGCACGUUGUGGGGGACACAGGCCCCAUGGGAGAGCCCCACCCAGGCCUCUGAGCGCUAGCCACAGAUGGAUGGCCUGGCAGCAGCCCCUUCUACAGCAAGAAUCCUCACUGAGAGCCUCCUUCCCCCGACCCCGCGAGAUGUCACUACCUACUUCCACUCCGUGUCAGCCGCACGCAAGCACAGACACACAAACCAUGUGUGUGUGCCCGUGUGUCCGUCUGCAGGAUGCGUGUGCACAUGUGAACUCACGAGUGCGCCCGAGGCCGUGCUGUGCCUCGUGCACCCGUCGCACACGUGUGGAUACGAGCGCUGGGGGAGAGCCGGCAGAGGAGGCUGAGCACUUCUCCGUGGUCCCUGUACCUCUCUGCCUGGAGGCCUGGUUCUGUCUCAUUCUCGUUUCCCAGGAGGCCUCUCUGGGCCCCUUCCUGGCUGGCCUCAGGGCAUCCAAGUCGGGUGGUGUCUGCGCCGGCCCCUGCGUCCUGGGAGCGGCCAAGGCUGCUAGAAUGUGCUCUCCCCCAGCCUCUGCAGGCUUCUAGUCACACAAGGCGCCGGAGGCCAGCCUGCCUCUUUUUCCUUUGUCAGCAUCUGCUUUCUCAAUAAAGUUUUGAAAACCUCUUCUUUCCCCA
This 723-nucleotide long non-coding RNA is filed under the name Sus scrofa (pig). RNAcentral's name for it is "lncRNA (ENSSSCG00015079087.1)". The record is from RNAcentral. Lineage: Eukaryota; Metazoa; Chordata; Mammalia; Artiodactyla; Suidae.